GGAGAAAAGCAGGGGAUCGCAAGACCUUGCGCUUUUGGAGCGGCCGAUGUCUGAUUAGCUUGUUGGUGAGGUAAAGGCUUACCAAGGCUUCGAUCAGUAGCUGGUCUGAGAGGACGGCCAGCCACACUGGGACUGAGACACGGCCCAGACUCCUACGGGAGGCAGCAGUGGGGAAUUUUGGACAAUGGGGGCAACCCUGAUCCAGCCAUGCCGCGUGAGUGAAGAAGGCCUUCGGGUUGUAAAGCUCUUUCAGCCGGAACGAAACGGUUACGGUUAAUACCCGUAACUACUGACGGUACCGGAAGAAGAAGCACCGGCUAACUACGUGCCAGCAGCCGCGGUAAUACGUAGGGUGCGAGCGUUAAUCGGAAUUACUGGGCGUAAAGCGUGCGCAGGUGGUUUUGUAAGUCAGAUGUGAAAUCCCCGGGCUUAACCUGGGAACUGCGUUUGAAACUACAAGGCUAGAGUGUGGCAGAGGGGGGUGGAAUUCCGCGUGUAGCAGUGAAAUGCGUAGAGAUGUGGAGGAACACCGAUGGCGAAGGCAGCCCCCUGGGUCAACACUGACGCUCAGGCACGAAAGCAUGGGGAGCAAACAGGAUUAGAUACCCUGGUAGUCCAUGCCCUAAACGAUGUCAACUAGUUGUCGGGUCUUAACGGGCUUGGUAACGUAGCUAACGCGUGAAGCUGACCGCCUGAGGAGUACGAUCGCAAGAUUAAAACUCAAAGGAAUUGACGGGGACCCGCACAAGCGGUGGAUUAUGUGGAUUAAUUCGAUGCAACGCGAAAAACCUUACCUACCCUUGACAUGUAUUGGAGCCCGCAGAGAUGUGGGUGUGCCCGAAAGGGAACGAUAACACAGGUGCUGCAUGGCUGUCGUCAGCUCGUGUCGUGAGAUGCUGGGUUAAGUCCCGCAACGAGCGCAACCCUUGUCAUUAAUUGCCAUCAUUUAGUUGGGCACUUUAAUGAGACUGCCGGUGACAAACCGGAGGAAGGUGGGGAUGACGUCAAGUCCUCAUGGCCCUUAUGGGUAGGGCUUCACACGUAAUACAAUGGCG
RNAcentral lists this ribosomal RNA (1055 nucleotides) under uncultured Nitrosospira sp. Its description in RNAcentral is "bacterial SSU rRNA". It matches the Rfam family "Bacterial small subunit ribosomal RNA", at positions 198 to 1235 of the family's 1533-position model. The record is from RNAcentral. Lineage: Bacteria; Pseudomonadati; Pseudomonadota; Betaproteobacteria; Nitrosomonadales; Nitrosomonadaceae.